This 303-nucleotide RNase P RNA is filed under the name Candidatus Bathyarchaeota archaeon. RNAcentral describes it as "RNase P RNA component". It matches the Rfam family "Archaeal RNase P". From Rfam's summary of the family: Ribonuclease P (RNase P) is a ubiquitous endoribonuclease, found in archaea, bacteria and eukarya as well as chloroplasts and mitochondria. Lineage: Archaea; Thermoproteati; Candidatus Bathyarchaeota. The record is from RNAcentral.
GUGAGCUGGCGGAUGGCUCCGAGCUUACAAAAAGCUUGAGGAAACUCCGCCCACAGUACAGACUUGCAGCAUCUGUAAAGGUGUAGGGCGAGAGCCUUGGCAACAGAGCAGAAACGAAACGUCCAUCCAGCAUGUGGCGAUGAUUCAUGUUAAGUUGUCGAGGACGCUGGUUGUGAAGCGUUGAAACGGCUGUCCUGCAAGGUGUAAGGGCAAAUAGGCGCUUGUGAAGAGCUGUAUGAAGCGCGGGUUGCCCGAUUAGCUGAAUGCCAUCUUUGAACAAAAGGCGGGUUAUGUCCAGCACAC